This 376-nucleotide ribosomal RNA is filed under the name uncultured bacterium. RNAcentral's name for it is "bacterial SSU rRNA". It matches the Rfam family "Bacterial small subunit ribosomal RNA", at positions 524 to 898 of the family's 1533-position model. The record is from RNAcentral.
UACGUAGGUGGCAAGCGUUGUCCGGAUUUACUGGGCGUAAAGGGAGCGUAGGCGGAUACUUAAGUGGGAUGUGAAAUACCUGGGCUUAACUUGGGUGCUGCAUUCCAAACUGGGUGUCUAGAGUGUUGGAGAGGAAAGUGGAAUUCCUAGUGUAGCGGUGAAAUGCGUAGAGAUUAGGAAGAACACCAGUGGCGAAGGCGACUUUCUGGACAAUAACUGACGCUGAGGCUCGAAAGCGUGGGGAGCAAACAGGAUUAGAUACCCUGGUAGUCCACGCCGUAAACGAUGGGUACUAGGUGUAGGAGGGAUCGACUCCUCAUGUGCCGCCGUUAACACAAUAAGUACCCCGCCUGGGGAGUACGGUCGCAAGAUUAAA